Monodelphis domestica (gray short-tailed opossum) is the source of this 1511-nucleotide long non-coding RNA. RefSeq lists it as uncharacterized. The record is from RefSeq and is a predicted model, not a curated record. Lineage: Eukaryota; Metazoa; Chordata; Mammalia; Didelphimorphia; Didelphidae.
AAGCUGAAAGGGUUAUAAAGUAGCCAUUGCUGGAAAAGCUCCAGUGAGGGAGAACUUGUUUCCUCCAAAGGCAGUCCAUUCAUUCUAUUUUGAUAUAGCUUUGAUUGUUUGAUUGUUGUUUUCCUGUAAUCAAAUCUAAAUUUGCCACUUUGCAACUCCUCCCCAUUGGUCCUAAUUCUGCCCCCGGGGCCAAAAAGAAGUCUAAUUCUGCUUCCGGUUAAUCAUCUUUCACAUAAUUGAAGACAGCUAGCAUGAUGUGGAAUGGUUCUAUAGGAAGGUACCCAAGGGACAGAAGAGUUCAUUUUGGAUUCCAGCCUUGUGCUAACAACGAGGAGAAACAGUUGGAAGAAGGGGAUCAGAUCAACUGAAGUCUGAAGUCUUUGGCUUUGAAGACAGAAAAGUCAGGACUCUCUUGGCUUUGGUGACAGAAAGAAGUCUGUUAUAUCUUUAGCCUUGAAGACAGAAAGGAGAAGGGUCUCUUGGCUUGGAGACAGAAGAAAGAAGGACAAAGUCCACUCUCUCUGAUUUGCUCUGUUGUGAUACAGUGACUGAACUUCCAGACCUAUCACCCCAUUUUUCCAAACUGAAGCAUAUUCCACCAUCCUCCAACCUAAGACUUAUUCUAGUAUUAGGGAAACCCCUAACCCUCUUUCCCUCCAUUUCUUAUCUUUCCUUUCUUCCCAAUAAACCCCUUAUUUAAUUUAGAGAAGAGAAAGAGUGUUUUAUUUGAGACAUCAUCAGAAAGGGGAGGGAAGAAGGGAGGAAGGGAGGAAGGAAGAAGAUUAACAGCCCUGAUCUUUAGUUACCAUUUACCAUUCAAAUAAUCCCUUAUUACAAUUUGGCACCCAGACUGACUGAAUUCACAAUCCUGAAGGCAAAGAUGUUUAAGCAAGUGAUCUGUGGGGUGGUAUUUUUGGCAGCUAUUGCAGGAUACUGGAUUUACAAUAUCCUGUAUAAUACAAUGACAAAUAUGAAUGUUGAUUCUAUGGAAUAUAUAACUAAUACCACGAUGUUCAUACUAAAUAUACCAUUUCAAAAAGAGACAAUACUCUGGCAAAUACUGACACAGAUCUACAUCAUUUCAAUGGCUGCAAUACAAACUAUGACCUACCUUAAAACAUUUACAGAUGUGUAAUUCCUAAAACUACAGCACAGAUCAUGGUAUGUUUGGAGUUUGGAGACACUAGUUAAGAACAUGUUUGAGGAAUUCUUAAAGUCAAAAGGGCUAGAUCAGAUAAAGGAUAAGGGAAAUGGUCAGGCAGACAAUGUACCUAAAGGUGCAAAGAAUGAAGAAAGAAAGGCCAAGAAAACAAUGUCUGGUGCACAGGGCAAUGACAAUGACAAGGACACCAAGGCAAAUAAUGAGGCUGAGAAAAUCUUUCCACUUAAAGACAUUACCAAGGUAUCUAAUACAGCUGGUGUGUUGCACGCCAAGGUUCAUAGGCAAUUUACUACUCAGGAAUUAGAUUCCAUGAAGAAAAGGUUCCUAAAAUUUAUCAACGAGUUCCAUA